AUGAGGGAGAUGAAGAAAGUUCUUGGAACAGAGGAUGAACGAGCAAUGUCGCCGGAAAAUAGCUUCGGGAGCAAACAACCGGAGACUCUCCGGCUUCUCAAGUAACCAUCAUCAUCGGCUGAUUUUACACCAUCCUUGCUGAUUCAGAGAUAAAGAAGUAACAAAGUUCAUAUAUAUAUUAUUUGUAAAUCAUAAGGAAGCUCUCUAUACAUAUUUAUUGGAAAAUAUACCCUUUCUCCCCUUGCUACGGAGAAGUUAAUAGAAGAAGAAAAAAAAAAACAUGGAAUAAAGAUAUCUCUCGACUGUUUCGGAGACAUGAUCACAGACUGUUUCGAAUGUUUUUUUUUUUUUUUUUUUUUUUUUUUAUAUGUGUGUUCUUAUCCGAAAUAAGGAAUUUGAUAAGAGUUGAUUAAAGUUUUGCUUUCUUCAGCCUGAAGAACCUUUAGCCCAAAGCUAUUCAUUUUGUUAUUUAUUAAUCGCUAGUGGUUAGUUGUUUACUUUACCUUCGUGGCAAAGUUACAGCAUAUUCUUAGUCAUGAAUUUAGUUAGCUGUUAAAAUUUGAAUUUUUCUUUUUCAGGGAGAACGUAUUUGAUGAUAUCAUAAAAUAAAAACAAAGAAAGAGAAAAAAAAAAACUCAUAAGAAGUAGGCAUGUCAAUCGGGUUAGCCCGGCCCGGCCCGGUCCGAAAUCCAUAAAGCCCUCAUAUAUGUGAGCCCGGC
This 719-nucleotide long non-coding RNA is filed under the name Capsella rubella. RNAcentral describes it as "long non-coding RNA (CRUB_LNC001164)". The record is from RNAcentral. Lineage: Eukaryota; Viridiplantae; Streptophyta; Magnoliopsida; Brassicales; Brassicaceae.